AGGCUCGUAGCUCAGUGGGAGAGCACUACCUUGACACGGUAGGGGUCGGCGGUUCGAAACCGCCCGGGCCUACCA
RNAcentral lists this transfer RNA (75 nucleotides) under Nitrospirae bacterium GWC2_42_7. Its description in RNAcentral is "tRNA-Val". It matches the Rfam family "tRNA". Rfam says of the family: Transfer RNA (tRNA) molecules are approximately 80 nucleotides in length. Their secondary structure includes four short double-helical elements and three loops (D, anti-codon, and T loops). Lineage: Bacteria; Pseudomonadati; Nitrospirota. The record is from RNAcentral.